This is a long non-coding RNA of Haliotis rubra (blacklip abalone), 531 nucleotides long. RefSeq lists it as uncharacterized. The transcript is spliced from 3 exons. Lineage: Eukaryota; Metazoa; Mollusca; Gastropoda; Lepetellida; Haliotidae. The record is from RefSeq and is a predicted model, not a curated record.
UGUAAAUUACCAUGUAAUCAUUCACGCCUCGGUUGGAUGACGCCGUUAGACCUUGUUGUUGAAGAUUGGCCACUCUAAUGUAAAAUACCGAUUCAUACACAGACACAUAUGAGGCUUAUGGACAAUGAGGCUUAUGGACAAAGGGAGGUAACUCUGUCGGGCAAACACUCCUAACCGCUCAACUCCCAUUCCAGGUCGUGCCGCUGUGUUGAGCUCCACUUACCGGCCGUCACUGUAAGGAGCUAGAGGCUCUUCAACAACUAGGCGUCUUCUGUUACAGCAUGUCAGUCUUUUGUAUAGGGAGGGAUGCAAGACAUUUACCAAUUUGAUGAAGCCCAAGUGUUUGCUGAGUCACCAAGAACCAUUCACAAUGGAAUUCAGGGACUAGAUGUUGUGCUGUACACAACUAUAAACAACUCUGCUUUUGAUGAAGAUUAUGAGAUAAAUCAGAUGUGCUUGAAUAGACUCCUAACUUAUUCUGUGAAUCUGUUUUGUGUACCAUGAACAAAUAACAUAUAUGCCCAACAGUAU